RNAcentral lists this long non-coding RNA (3231 nucleotides) under Homo sapiens (human). RNAcentral's name for it is "HSALNT0078568". Lineage: Eukaryota; Metazoa; Chordata; Mammalia; Primates; Hominidae. The record is from RNAcentral.
CUGCUCAGAAGACACAAGACACACCAGGAGUGACGUGAGGAAACAGGCAGUAAAGAUAAGCCUUUGCGACUGGGUUACUCAGACCCUCCCUGACAAGGAGGAGCCCAUCUUGAGUGUCCCAGGAGACCUGGACCUUGUGGACAUCCUGCAGAAUGGCAUAUGGAUCCAUUACAAUGAUGACAUCAUGCUGACUGGGCAAGAUGACAAGAGGUUGCUAUACACCAGAGGGCUUGGGAAGACACAUGCCCUGCAGAAGCCUUCUUUCACCUACCCAGUAAAAACGGUGGGCUGGUAAUAACUACCAUUUAUCAAGUACCUACUCUAUGCCAGCCACAAUUGUAUGUGAUCUCUGAUCCUCACAACAAGCCAGCAAGGUAAGCAUUCUUUUUUUUUUUUAUUUUGUGAUGGAGUCUCGCUCUGUCACCCAGGCUGGAGUGCAGUGGCUCAAUCUUGGCUCACUGCAACCUCCACCUCCCAGGUUCAAACAAUUCUCCUGCCUUAGCCCCCGAGCACCUGGAAUUACAGACAUCCACCACCACAUCCGGCUAAUUUUUGUAUUUUUAGUAGAGAUGGGAUUUCGCCUUGUUGGCCAGGCUGGUCUCAAACUCCUGACCUCAGGUGAUGUACCUGCCUCAGCCACCCAAAGUGCUAGGAUUACAAGCGAGAGCCACGGCACCCAGCCCAGCAAUGUAAGCAUUCUAACACCGUGGUGCAGAUAAGGAAACUGAGUCUGGGAGAUUGGAGGAUAUGCCUUCAUAGAGAUGCAUGGAUGGAAACCAGGUCUGUUUCCAACCAUCUGUUGCUCUUCCCUCUGUGUCACUUAAACACAGGGCCACUAUACUAACUGCUUAGCAAUGUCUUGGUUCAUUGAAAAGGGGAAGAGAUUUCUAACCUACCUAGCCUGUAUUACAAGAGAAAUGCUGCAUUCUCACUUAAGUAUCUCCUGAAAUUGUGAAAAGCCCUAUUUCUGUACUACUUCUCUUGGCAUCUCCUUAAUCCAAAAGACAAAAGUUACAAUCUAGAGAUGCUUACAAAAUGCCCUAGCUUUUUACCACCCCAUCCUAGAAUACAGUGAGCAAAAGCUCCUGUCCUGCCAGCUCUGUCAUUGGUCUUUGUCUUUGAGAUACUGGCCCCUUGGCCAUUGCUGGUUUUCUAUAGCAGUAAACCACACCCCACAUCAAAUAAGUACACUCUCUCCCAUUUAUUUUAGUUCAGUCAUCUGGUAUUUUCAAAGACCUGUUUGUGACAAAGAUAUGCUCUACCACAAUUUUCCUCCUAUCAUCUAAAUUAUCUCUUCUCUCUUUUGGCUCCUUAAGAAAAACCUGCUCCUGAUUACAAGGAUAUGUCGAUUGCAGGGAGGCAGAGGAAGAAAUACAACAGGAUGUCUAUCGAACACAACUUUGGAGUAAGACCUUGGGACCCAACUCCUGUUUGCUUCAUAUACAAGCUUUGAGACGUGAUGAGUUUGCCUCGAUUCUCUAAGCCUCAGUUUCCUCAUCUGUUGUUGUGAGGGAAAUAAUGCAUGGAAAGCUUUUAACACAAUGGCUGGCACACAGUGAAAGUGCAAGACGUUAACCAUUAUCAUGAGAGUUUUCAAUUGGAAUGAAUAGGAGACUUAAAUUUGCAUGAUUGUACUUUUACACUAAGCCAUUAAUGAUGCAUUCAUUUAGUUUUCUACUCCCAAAGAACAUAGAUUUGAUUAAUUAUAACAAGAAUUUAAAAAUAUUUCCAUUAUUCAGAAAUAACCUACAGAGUCUAAGCCUGUCCUUUCCUUCCUCCCUUUUUCCCAAUCUUUUUUUUUUUUUUUUUUUUUUGAAAGAAAUAGCAAUUAUGUAGUCAGAUUCACUGGCUCUUUCUUCUUCUCCCUGGUAACAGGCUAAGUCUUAACCUUGAUUAGGCAGCAUCGCAUCUGAUCUAAGUUCUUCCCAGCUUUCAGCCCAGCCUGCUUCCCCAGGCUUCAGAGCGCAGCUCUGCACCACCCUCUCCACCCCUGCUUAGCAUCAGAACAUUGCCAAAGCUAAGCAUCUAUGCAAUGUUUCUUUUGAAUAGUUGUCUACCUACUUGGAUAUUUUUUUCCUUCUCCCAGAGGCAAAAAUUGGACCACUUAAUCUAUGCUGUAGGACAGUCUUGCCCCUCAGAAAAUACUUGAGCAUAUUAAGUUGUUAUGAAAUGGAUCUGAGAAGCAGAGUUCUGAACCAUGCCCGUGAAUUUCCCAGCCUCAUCACACUGGCAUUCUUUCAUAGCCCCGAAAUACUUUCCACUUGCCCUUCCUAUGAAUGCAAGUAAAGCAAAGCCUCUUGACAAAGCAAAUUAAGAGUAAUCAAUGGUUUGGGUUUUUUUUUUAAUUAUUAUUUCCUGUGACUCAAAUCAAACCUAUUUCUCAACUGUAACGUACGAAAAGAGAGAGAUCAAGUUGACAUUUAGGAAAAUUGAACAUUGAUAAGUAAAUUGCCUUCACUCAGUCUCUUAGGUCCUCUCUCCUUUCCCCCUACCCCACGACACCCCGUGGCCCUGCUCUCUCUCACACACACAGCUGAAGGUAUCUUUAAAGGGUACCUAUUUCCUGCAGAUCACGCUUAUGUUAAUCUCACUUCAAGUACAGAUGCACCGAGGACAUUACAGGGUCAGUCAUUCUUAUCCACAAAGCUUUAGAUUCCACUACAUUAUUCAAACUGGACAAUGGACUUCCCCAUUUUGUGCCCAGACUUGCUCACUAAUAGAGUGACCUCCUUGUUAUGGGUGAGGAUAUAUUUGAUGCUAAAACUGCUACAAAUUUUUAUCAGCAUUUAAUCUUGAGACUGUGAAUUACUACAUCCUGCAUGUGUUGGUACCUUACUUUGAUUAAAAAUGGGAUAAAUCAAUGAGAGAGUCUUUUUAUCCAAGGCCAUGUUCCUUUCACAUGAAGGUCAUAUACGGGCUAAUUGGACAAAAUAUAAAUCAUGUUUCUUUCCACAUUCAGUUUUAGAUCCUGACCUGUUUUGUGUCAAGAAAUCACAGGGAGCCCAACCUGUAUCAUCAAGAUUGUUUUGAUUUACAGAUGAUUUCCUUAAAUCAUAGCAUGAUGACAUUCAAUGCAAUUCCAAAAUUAAGGAAUGGAGAGUUCAGAAGGACAUUUAAAAAAAAAAUGCUUGUAGUGUUAUAGGAAAAAGUAAUCAGAACUUUGACUCCAUUUGCUUUCCUGUGUCAUAGAAAUGUUGAGGACAGGACAAAAAUAUAACUCCCACCAGUAAC